Non-coding RNA from Podarcis muralis (Common wall lizard), 2523 nucleotides. NCBI's taxonomy places the organism in Eukaryota, Metazoa, Chordata, Lepidosauria, Squamata, Lacertidae. The record is from RefSeq and is a predicted model, not a curated record.
AUUAUUAUUAUUAUUAUUAUUAUUAUUAUUAUUAUUAAUCAGAGCUGGGCAGCCUUCAUUUUUAUGCCCCAUGAUUCUUUGAGUCAACACCAAACUAGCUUGCGACAGCAUUGUUCCAACUGUCUUUUGUGGGCAUAUCUGGGUAAAGCUGCAUCCAGCCCAGCAGGCGCUGUUGGCAGGAAAAGGAAGAACUUUGCUGUGGGCAUGCCACUGGGAGGCGGCAGUAGCAACUCUUCCCAAUCUGAGCAGGACCCCCUGCUCCCCCCCCCCCACACACACACUUUGCAUUACUUACUUGGAGGAGUAAGUAUUUCCAGGCUUGGAGGAGCGCAGGUGGCUGAGAGGCCUCAGAUAUUUCACACAUGUCCUCUACGACCCUUGGAUGCCUGUGUUUUAUGUAGAAGCAUAAGAAGCCUCCCUACAACUUCCAUCCUUUCCAACCCAGACAAGACUCUCUUGUGCUGCCCUGGAAUGUGGCAGGGCAGGGAGCGUGCCCAUCUAGGUCAGGAGGAGCCCCAGUUGCUGUGGGGCCCUCUCAGGCCCCCGUUCUUCUCCUGUAGAAAUGAGAAGCACACUGGAACCUCCAGGCCUUCCUUGCCAAACCAUAAUCGACCAGUUUAAUAACAAUUAACCUUGGACACCCACUUAAUCAAUUCUUAACGGACCAAUUAGGAAUCAUGCUUCCCUUGUGUCACGCAUUUGAUGUUUCUGUUGUGACCUCUGCUAGUGCCAUUGGAAACUCCAAUUGCAGGGUUUUUCAGUGUAUGCACGGGGCUGUUUCUGUUUAAUUGUGAAUUGCUUUGGUGAAUAAUAUUAUCCCAAUGGUAGAUGAGAAAUUGGAGAGGAGUGGUGAAACCACGUGAAUGCCAACAGCUUGCACAACACUCUGUGUGUUUAAUUCCAUUUCUUUAAAUGGCAAAACACUGACUGUCUGGAUUGGGGAUCCAGUGGUUAGGUGGUAGUGCUUUUCACUGCCAAAACAAAUUGUGCAGGUAAAGUACACCAGAGAAGGUGAUUCAUCCCAUCAUGGUCAGUUCGGAUGAUACAUUUCAACCCCAGAAUAAGGCUUUUUUUCUAAACCCUGAACGUGCCCCCCUUCCUUUUUACCCACAAUUUUCCAUUGGAAAAAUGCCCUCCUGCCCCCACUUCCCCUCCCCGUUUCCCUUUGGUUCCCUUUUGUGUACUUAGCACAUUCCUGUGCUGAAGGGUGAGGGGAAUAAUUCUGACACUUAUCUGGUUUGUGAAAGAGUGGCAGUGUUUAUAGCCUUUGCUUCCCUGUGAAACUGUCACUUCCUCAAUUCUUUCAGAUUCAGCUGGCCCAUGGAGAAUUAUUCUUAGAUUGUGUUCCCAGGACCUCUGCAUAACCAAUUAUGCCUGGUCUCUCAGGGAAGGCUAGUAGUAUCGCUAUAGCAGGCCAUUUGUCCCAUUCAAAGCCUUGCCUUGGCGGCCACUGAGUCAUUAACAAAAUGAAGCUGGUUAAAUAAUCUGCUCUGAGGACUUAAAACAAAACAAAAAAACCUUCUGAUAUAUAUUCCACCCUAUGCUAAGGCAUUAGACUCUGAGCAGUCUCUGUGUAUGUUUCUUUAUCCUUUUUUUUGCUUUUCUUUUUAAAUCACAAAGCAUCAGGGCCAAGUACCAUGCCUGAGGCUGAAUUCAGAGGUUCCUCUUCAGGUGAAACAUCAAAAAAGAAAAUGGAAAUUCAAGACUUUGAGAAAUGUGCAGGCAUGGUAUUCCCUUCUGCCAAAGUUCAGAAGGAUCAGCUGCAGUGGAUGUUCUGCAAGGGCAGGCUUUGCAAUUUGAUCACUCUCGACAAGAAGGAGAUGAACCAAGUGCCAUGAUAAUGUUCGCCUUGCUGUAAAUGUUCACCUUCCUCACCUUAUUUCCCCAGGUAGGGUUUCUUUCUUACGCUUGUGAACAAAAACCACACCUCAGAAUAACAGACUCUGCCUGAUAACUGAAUUACAGCUGAAUUUUGAGACAAAUUUGGAGGUGAAGUACAUGCAGACAUUUCUAAAGUAGUUCAACAUUUUUUGACAGGGCUGAGCUGAAGCCACUCACACAUUUUUAUGAACAAUUUCAAAUGUCAAAACCAGUUCAGUACCUAUUCAACUUCAUCCCUUCAUAAUACUGUCCCUCCAAAUGUCUGCAAAAGUAGGGAAAUUGCUAUGUAGGAGCAAAGACCCUGCUGCAGAAAUGUCCCGUCCCCAUUACGAGAGCAGCUCUCCUCUUAAUAACAGUUGCUGGGAAUCACAAGUGAAGAGAGAGUUGCUGUGCUCAGCUCCUACUUAUGGGAAGCCCAUAGACAUCUGGUUGGCCAUUGUGGGAAAGGAUUCUGGACAAUAAAGGCCUUUUGUUCUGAUCAAUCUUCCUAUGUUCUUAAAUCCAGGAUACAGUCAUCUUGCUGAUAAACACUGGACCUCUUGCCAGCAUCUCUCUUGCUCAGCUUUCACUAAUAGGAUAAAUCAGGGCUUUUUUGUCCCCAGCCGGAACUCUCCGGAACUCAGUUCCAUCACCUCUCAGGUG